Paramormyrops kingsleyae is the source of this 463-nucleotide long non-coding RNA. RefSeq lists it as uncharacterized. Lineage: Eukaryota; Metazoa; Chordata; Actinopteri; Osteoglossiformes; Mormyridae. The record is from RefSeq and is a predicted model, not a curated record.
CAGCCUGAGCUUCUCCUCGGCAAAGGGAAGCUGCAUGUCUUCAUCGCGGAUCGUCAGGCUGCCGCCGACACUUGCGCGUUAUGGAAGCGCAGCGGACCCGAUUUCAUGCUGCAUGUCCCAGAGACGUGGGUACAUGGGAGGAUCAAUGAAAAGAUUCACUGAUAGUAUGAGGCUCGUCCCACGUGUUUCGCCGUCCGGGAGAUAUGCAUCGUGUUUUUCGGGAGUUGACAUGUGUGGCUGACCUCCACAGCAACAGCUCCUACUGCAUGAAUUGUCAUUACGUGGUGAAUGUCUGGAUGAGUUCACUGAAGCAUAUCAGUGAAUAAGUUUGCGUGUGACGCUCUGUGUAUUAAGUGUGCACAAGCUACUGUAUGUGCGAUUGUCUGAGUAACUGUGUGACACGAUGUGGGUGCUGGUGAAUAUGAAUUCGCGAGUCAAUAAAAUGUCUGCAUCUGCUUGUUUA